CAGUCGCCGCGGUAAUACAGAGGGUGCAAGCGUUAAUCGGAAUUACUGGGCGUAAAGCGCGCGUAGGUGGUUUGUUAAGUUGGAUGUGAAAGCCCCGGGCUCAACCUGGGAACUGCAUCCAAAACUGGCAAGCUAGAGUACGGUAGAGGGUGGUGGAAUUUCCUGUGUAGCGGUGAAAUGCGUAGAUAUAGGAAGGAACACCAGUGGCGAAGGCGACCACCUGGACUGAUACUGACACUGAGGUGCGAAAGCGUGGGGAGCAAACAGGAUUAGAUACCCGCGUAGUCCCUGUCUCUUAUAA
RNAcentral lists this ribosomal RNA (301 nucleotides) under uncultured bacterium. RNAcentral describes it as "partial 16S ribosomal RNA". It matches the Rfam family "Bacterial small subunit ribosomal RNA", at positions 509 to 809 of the family's 1533-position model. The record is from RNAcentral.